GGCUUUAUGUAAGUGAAAGAUUCUGUAAAUUAUAAUUUUUACUUACGUGGGAGAUGGGAAAGAAUUAGAUAUUUGCCAGAGUAAAUUCUGUGUACAUUCACUGUUUGGCUUUGUUUUCUUUUUUUAAUUAAAGUUUCUAUGUCUUUAGCGCUCUGAACUGAUAGAGGACAAAGAUAAUGGGAGAAAGGAUUUGCAAAAAUGACAGGGAAGUAAUAUCUCUACUAGAAAUUAGAGAAGAUUUAUCAUGUGCAUUUUUAAAAACCUAGUUGUAAUUUUUCCAGCUACUUAUUGUACAGAAGUAGGUGUGGACUAAAAGUAGAAGUAAACAGUGGACUUUUGCACAGUCUUAGUCAUGAAGUGAUUAAUAAUUGCCAAUAAUACAGAAUAAAAUGACCUGGGUUUCCAUGAAUAAAGAAAUGGUAGAAUUUGUAGUUUACCUUCUAUUGCCUAUACUUUUGAUGAAAUACUAUACAGUAGCAUUAAAAUUUUUACUGUUGAUUUAUCAAAUUAACCUCCUAAAAACAGUACAGUACUACUUUUGAAUUAGAUUUCAGUCAUCUGAAUCUUGAAUCUGUAAGAAUAUUUAUUAUUAUGACCAAAUAAAAGUUUUCCAUGGAAGGUAAAGGAGGUUCAAUACUUGAAAUUUUAUUCAUAAUUUAUUAGCCAACCAAAUGGAGGAGGAGGGAGUAAUAGCGUAGUAAAUGUGAUUUUAAUGAUAAAUAACAUACUGAAUGAUUUUCUUAUUUUACAUCUAUCUGAAAACAGUUGCCAGGUAUACUUCAUGUUGAAAAAUAGAUUAAACCUUUUAAAUGGGUUAUCAGAUUAUCCCAGUAUUACCAUUCUUAUUUAACAACAUUUAGAAUUGUUGUCCAAACUGAUUAUCAAAAAAAAAACAAAAAACUAAAAAACAAUGAGGUAAAAGUUUAAGGAGAAAUACAUCUAAUUCACAGUAGUAAUGGCAAAUAGAGACCAGUGGAGAAUAAACCUAAUUUAGAAAUGUGGCCAAAAA
RNAcentral lists this long non-coding RNA (1009 nucleotides) under Bos taurus (domestic cattle). RNAcentral describes it as "long non-coding RNA NONBTAT013631". The record is from RNAcentral. Lineage: Eukaryota; Metazoa; Chordata; Mammalia; Artiodactyla; Bovidae.